UGCGAGGAAAGAUAAAGGAAGAUGAAGGACUUCAUAAUACUCCAAAAUCAGACUGCAAACUUAAAUGGCUUCCUCAAAAGUGUCAUUCCAUCCUGAGAUCAGGAGCUCUAUCCAAACACCUUGAAUCACCUGCAGGAGAGCUCUUCAGAGAAGAACAAAUCUUUCCCAACGUCCUGUUGGAUUAUUUAAUCUAAAGGCACCUCAAGAAGCAAAGUAAUUGGAUGUCUCUUUGAGUCAUUCCUCUACAAGAGAAGACAUCUUUUGGUUAACAAGUUUUAAUUGUAUUAAUCACUGGAAAAUUUAUUUUAGCGCAAUCAAACAAAAUAGAGAAUUGUUGUACCACUAGCAACUUUCUUGAAAUGAUUCAGGGCCAUGUAAUGUUUUAUUUUCUUUUUAAAAAAAUAUGUGCAUGUAUGCACGAGCACCAUUAAGGUGAUGUUGAUUUUUAGCACCACAUAGAUAGAGCUUCUCCAGGAUGAUCUGUCCGUUGCAUGGUCCUUGAACCCUCCCAACAAUGCACCUGUCUACCAACCUUCACUGGACCAAGUGGUAGAUUAUAGUCCAUAACCUUCAAAUGAAGAGGCCUUCGUCUUACAAUGGAUUGAUCUGGGCUGAUCAUCAACAUCCCUAUCAUCAUAUUAUCAGUCAUGUCUCUGAGAAACCACAACUAGUUAUAGGAAAGCUAUGCUGAAAAGGCUCUAUAACUAUCUACGGACAUUUUAAAAAACGCACGUGAGUUUUUUUGUUGCAUGAAAACUCUAAUACAUUUUCUUCCUUUAAUACUAUUUAUUAACACUGAUAUUAUUAACCCAAACAGGCAACAAAGUUGCGCAAACAUUUCCAAGAGCACUACAAAUUUCCUAUUUCAAUAGAACUUUUGUGGACUUGUCUGAUACAAAGACGUAGGAGGAGAGCCGUGCUUGUCUGCGGUAACACAAAAUCAGGCAGCACCUUUUCUGACUCACAAAUUUUAUUAAAAGGCAGAAGCUCUUUUUCUGACUCUUCCUAACCGUUUUUUUUUUUUUUUUAAAGACAGUGAUCAUGGCCAGCCUUAAUCUUUUUUUCUUGGAGGAAAACCUACUCAGCUUUCACCACCAAGUAAGGAAAUUCUGAACAUGCUUAGCUGAAGGCACUUUUUUUCCUCUUGAUAAUUCACUUGAAAAACUUUGGGAUUUAAUCUUUCUGGUGUAAUCUUGGGACUUUGGGGAGUGAGCCAACACCUGUAUUUUCAUGUAGCUUGUGCCUUUAUCUGUUCAGCUGAAUGGCAAAAUAAGUAAAAUAUCUGUAAGAAUUCAACAUGAGACUUUUAUAUAUUGAAGAUCAGGAGAGUUAAUCACAAAGUAUUCUCAAAAGUAGGAGAUAAAAAUGCAAAUACAUUAUUUUGCUAUCUGAGUUAACACCUGAGACCUCUGGUGGGAAAGGAAGUGAGUAUCUUGAUUCAGGCCUACAUGUAUGAAUUACAUUCUCCAAUAAGUUCUAGUGCAAUUUCACCCUUGGAUUUCUCUCAAGAUCUUUUUUUGGUGCGUGUGUGAAUAAGAAAACUAGAAGUAGUUUUCUCUUCCCCUUGUAACUGAACACCAACUCUUGUUUUAAUUUCUGUUGUCCAUGAUGGGACAGUGCCAUUGCAGAAUUUCUUGGUAUCCGAAGGGUCAUGAGUCAUGGAGAAGAUCCAGGCAAGCUUUCAAAAAAAUCAAGCUUGAUAGUUCCAGAAGACUUAGGAGAACAGUUGACAUUAUUUGGAAGGGGGCAUUAAGUCCCUUCCCCUGAACAGGAGAAGACGUUUCACAUGACUGUUAUUAGGACUGAAACUAAGCAAUGAAUAUGAAACAUUCUGACAUUUUAAAUACCAUGCAAAUAUUGCAAAUGAUUAUAGCUGGUAUGUGGUUGUUGUGGUGCUGUUACUAUUAAAAUGUUCAUGCAUCUGGAUGAAUAAUAGACUGCAUUUUGACUCCAGUGACUUGGCUCCUAACCAAGAUUUAAGAAUCGUGGAGGUACCACUGUAAAAGCAGGACACCUCUCUUGAAGUUCAAAACAAAAUGUAAUCAGAGGAGGAAGAGGAGGAGACGGCAGCGGAGAAGAAGAAUCCAUCAGAUUCUGAGGAAGUAUAUUCCAUCACAGAACAGCUUGUAUUAUUUAUUUUAGUUGUCCAGGAUGGUAAAACCUUCCUUUUGUAAGCAAAAUAAGUCUAAGAGCCAAAAACCACAGUUUUCAUGCUUAAAGGACGUAUUUUUAACUAUUAAAUGAGAAGACAAAUCUAUUUAUCUGAAUCACAAUCUUCAUACUAGGAUAUUGUUCACAACAGAUAUUUGAUAUGCCUAUGACUUGGUAUGAGAAUUAAACAUAGGACUGAGGAGGAAAAAGAUAUUUAAAGGCUGUUUAUAAGACCAGGUUUCCUUUUUCAUACUGUUCCACUUGGUGGAAGAAAGGGAAUAAGUUUUGUCCUCCCAUUGUCCUCCCGUUAGAAAGAUAAUGCCAUGGUGGGAACUCUGCAGUGAUGGCUUGAAAAAUAUCUAGCAAUUCUUUAGAGUUUUCUUCCCAUGCCCAACCCAAUGCAGUGAAAGUAGUUUUUUUUAAUUUCUCCUUGAGUGAAAACAGAGUGACACAGUCAAACAUUUUUAUGUCAGUGCUAGAGGCCCCCAGGUUUGGCAACUACCUUGGGAUGCAAAACCAAGAUGGUAAACAGGGAAGUUCUAGAACCAGUGGGGGGAAAUAGAAACCCAAGGCAGCUUCAAAAUGUUCUCUUUUGACUUCUUUCUUCUGUUUUCUCUACCUUCUUCUUUUGUCCACUCUCUUUCUUUCUGUCCCACUUCAACAACCUUCUAAAAACUGACAUCCACGUUCUUCUGCCUAGGUCUGCUUUGCACAGCUCAUUGUCCCUGGACUGCAAGAAUGAAGGCCAGCCCUGCCAUUAGGCAGAAUGAGGAGGAACUGAAUGGAGGUAUCUUUCUCAACUUUGUUUUCUGCACAUGAGUUUCCAGGCCUCUCUCAUCCGCAUACCUGCAAAAAGGAGGGUGUGAAGAAGACACAGCAAAUCUUAUCGGUGAAAAUGAACAAUGAUGCUCCUUGAAGCUACAUUGCUUGUUUCACAAGAAAAGCAAAGAUAGACAGGCAUUUCAAAGAGAUCCUGGCAUUCCCCAUGGCUUCCGCAGCUGGUGCUUUACGUAACUUUCACACUUCCCAUGUCGCCCACGGAAAUUGCCAGAGACGUGGCUCCAAAGAGCUGGUCUUGGGUGCCUUCUGAUUGGAAAUCCAUCUGGAUCAUGAAAGGCGAGUCAAAGCUCCGAGUUCAUUGUUCUGCUUCCCUUGUUUCGGCAGCAGCUGCCUUGAGAAGGAGAAAAAAAGUGACAACGCCUCUCCCACUCUACCAGUCAAGGAGAAAUCCCAGGAGGGAAAUCGGUGAAAUGCUGAAUGGUCAUAUGUGUCUUCCACCAAGUGGCAAUUUUUGUUUGUUGUCCCUUCCCUGGUCAAGGAGGAAGUUUGCAGGAUGUUAUGAAUUUCCUGCUUCAGGGACUUGCAGAGCAUUUUCAUGUAAAUAAGUCUCCCCAAAGCCACACCCUAGCACUAACUUUUUCUCCCCUGUGCGUAGACCAUGGCCUACGCAGAUGAAUGUGUUUUUCAACCAGAAUGGGGGCAGAAUUGUACAGUGGAUUGCACAAGGACCCUGGGACUUGCAAGCUAAUUGAAAAAUACAAUAGACGGAUUCUGGGUGUCCCCAAAAUAGUCUCUGUGUUGGAUGUGAAAUAUGAGCAUUUGAAUGGGGGGAUCUGUAGAAGGGAACCCCCAUAUUCGUUGGCUUUUAAAGAGGUGUGAACCCAGCAGGAUGUUGCUUAUAAAGUGGUAGAAGAACUCAAAUCAUGUCUGUGGUUGCUACCAGAGACACAUCACAGGAAUAUAUAUAUUCUGCUGUGAGUGAAUUUGGGUGUUCGGUUCCCACCAGUGGCCAGAGGAACGCUAACCACAAAGAACGUUUGGCCCCUGUUUGAUUUCUCCUUUAACGACUUGUUGGACUGGAUGAGGGUUGAAUUUGAUCAUUUAAAAACCUUCGAGAUAUUUCAAGACCUCUUCAAAAUUUGUUGGCUUCUCAAAAAUAUCCUGCAUGGACAUAUCACACAGGACUCUUUCACGAGGGGGCUUCUUCUUUUUGGACACUCCUUGGAACAGCCAAGUAAACGAUUAAAAAAAAGCCAGACUGGAAAAAUGUUCGGGUAAAGUACCCGUAAAACAAAAUAGACUUUUCAUAAUUUGCACUGGAGGGUCACAGGCGCUGUAGCGAUGUGCUAUGUUUUUCAUGCCUAGAUCCUGAUGAGAUCAGCCUGGUGCUUGCCCUAUUUAAAACUUUCGUUGGUCCUUUCCCUUCCCAAGGCAAGCCGUCUGCUGAUGAGAAACGGGUCCCUGAGGCAAUGUGGAGACAAAAAAGAGCAUGUAAUUGAAAUAAUAAAUUAUGAUCAGUGUCAUCAGUUUUGCCAAGAGAUGUCGUGGAUUAUGCUGUUUAAAGGGCGGUGCUAACUUAAUGUGAUGACAGACGGGCUGGAGGAGACAGCUAGGAAUUGUUCUUCGGGAGAGGUCACGCAGGUCCUGCUCCAAGGCUGCGCCUUUAAAGUUUGCUUGUAAGGUCUGUUGUGAUAAGGGCUCCUAAUGCGCCUUUUGAUACAUUGCAUUGUUCAGUAAGAUCUGUGCUGAUUUCUUGGACCUUCACUAUCUGUAUUUCCCUGAUUCCUUGGGGAGUCUUAUGCUACCCUCUCAAACAAUGGCUAGGUUAGCACAUGGCUGUGAUCUUUAAACUAUCGUUCAUUAAGUAAACCGUAAUUGCUUUUACAAGGCACUAAAACUGCAAAACAUGUUUUAUUGACAUGCUGCAGUGGCUGGGUUCACACAGCAUGCUAAGUCUAAAAAAGACCUCAUCCCGGUUUCCUGUGAUUCCAGUCAAUGAGCUGAGCCUGGGUUUGCUUUAAUUGUGAUUUGUUUCAUGAACCACAUUGGCUGGGUUCACAUGUCAUUUAGGGUAAUUACGCUGGUUUGCAGAUUACAUGGUUGUGGUGUACACAACAGAACAAACCACAUUUUGGCUCAGCAUAAUAUAUGAACAUUGAGCUUUCAGCCAAUUGCUCUAAAGGGAGUCAGGGAUGACAAUUUUGCAUCUUCUGUGUUUGAUAGCUCCUAGUUUCUAGUUUUCCUAGUGAGAAGCUUUGUCCUUGGGUUUUUAGCUACCAUUUAAACUCUCCCUCAUUUGUCUCUCAUUACACACCAACUAUGGAAUGGGAUGAAAUUGCACCAAUAUUUCUCCCAACCGCAACCAUCAUCCAUGGUAUGACUGCUGAGAUUAGCAGGAAACAGUCCUGACUCAACUCUUAAUUGUAUCUUAUGAGUCAUCUUAAUUGUAUGCAGCUUAUCCAAUGUGGUAUAUUGAAAGGAGUGUUGGAUUCAGACUGGCAACCCUUGAGCAAAAAAUAUCUACUUACAUCCCCCUAGCCACUGAUCUCGUUACAGAGGUGGACUAGUUGUAAUGCUGGAGGACAGCUUUCAUAUUUGGGAGCCACCGUUAGCCUUAUCUUCCUUAACUUUGUCUAAUUGCUUUAAGACCUCUCCAAGUUGGGAGGUAUUGCUACAUCUAGUGGUCACAAAUUGUACAACCUCUGCCUUGGUUCCCCCACAGUUUUGCUUAACUGGAUGACUCCCCUCCUUCUUAGUAUUACAGGGGAGAAAGAGAAACAUCUUCUUGUCAAAUGUUCCCCCUGUAGUUGCCUGCAGUUCUUUGGAAGAAGAGCAACAAUGAAAAACAUAAUUAAUAUAACGUCAAACAUGGAGGUCUUUAUUUGGUGGCUGUAUGUCUACUGCUUCAUUUUGAUUUAGUUACGGCAGAUUAGUCAACAAACCGUGGUUGAAAUUAUGGCUGAAUAUGAGCUAAGAAACCAACCUUGAGGGCUUGUCUGCAUCUAGCCAACGAUCAUAGCAUGGCCUUCUUGACAGAGUCUGUUGAGACUGAAAGGCAAUGCCUGAAGCAAAGAGGAGGAAUUUGGCAAUAGAUAUGGUGAGAUCUCACCCCUUCCAAACUUCACCCAAGCUCAGUUGAUGAUCACACUGGAAAAGGAGGAGAUGAGAUGGAUCUUAUUGCUGCUCUUGUCAUAUAGUUACCCACCAUGGAUUAGAAAGAAACCAACUUGAAGUAGAAUUUGUCUUACCCUGUUUUUCCCCCCUCCCCUCCUCUCCCCUCCCCUCCCCUCCCCUCCCCUCCCCAGGUUGGGCUGAGAUACCUCCAAGCCUGGGUGUGGAAACUGGUUUGGUCUGGCAAGACCACGCAGCUCAAUGGAAUAUGUAAACACUGGGCUAGAAUCAUUCAUUUAAGGCUUAUCUGCCUUGUUCUUCUGACUCUUUGCUGUAAGGGGCGUUGGGGUGCACCACAGGGGUGAAGGAGAGGAGUGGAGAGAAACCAUUGUAAGAGCCAUGAACAAUCCAGAAGGGCGUGUUUUGCCUGGAGGUAUGAUUGCUAGGUCGGCAGAGUUUAUGUCCUGAGUUCAUCCUGUUCCUUUUGAGGAGCGAAAGAAAGUCUGAAGAAGAAGGUGAGCGCUACUGCUCUUCAGGUCCCUUCUGUUUUAAGCGCACCUCUUGCGAACAAAUCUCUCUUUGACUUCCCUGCUCAGCAGAGGCUUCAUCUUAGCUGACUUACUGGCCACUCAUGCUGCUAGGAAACAUGAUCAAUGCAAUGCAGUCCUGGCAUUGGGGCAUCUGUUUGCUGUGUGUCUGGACUAGGCAGGAAUGUUCUUCCAUUCUAGACUUUUGAUGAAAUGCAAUCCAUGGUUGGACCUUUGAUCAAGUUGGCUAGUAAGAACACAGCAAGAGGAGAACCUAAGAUUGCUUGCAACUCUGGGAUGGGCAGGAAAAAGAGCCUUCAGGAAUGGACAGUUAAAUGAAUGAACGUACACCCUAGCUGUUCUUAGCAGAAAAAUAAAAUGGUUAAAGCACA
This is a non-coding RNA of Python bivittatus (Burmese python), 6961 nucleotides long. The record is from RefSeq and is a predicted model, not a curated record. Lineage: Eukaryota; Metazoa; Chordata; Lepidosauria; Squamata; Pythonidae.